GAAUCACAUUACAAUUAAUUUGCUAACAUUACAUAAGCCAAAUGUUUGUCGACUGAAGCGUAUGUCUACACGAAAAAAAAAAACAUAUAUUUGCUAGUGCAACACAUCAAAAUAUCUCCACAAAAUGGAACGUGUUUGGUUAUUUAAUAGGACACACCCAAUUCACAAUUCAAUUUGGGCAAAAUUCUAAACCACCGCCAGCUACAGUGGCGCACAACCUCAGACUUCAGACUAGGGAAAGUAAUCACUAUUAUUACUGUAAUUCCAUCACAUUCCUACUUGAAUAUACCAACAAUAGGCAAAAAACUGUCCCGUCUCGGGCUGUUCGGGAAUACUUAAAUCCGAAUGAAUAACAAUAAAACACCACACCCGGAACCACUAUCCGGCUGAUUUGCAAAGUUAUCUUCUCAAGUUGAAUUGUAGUCUAGUCUCUGGUAGAUUCUCCGAGCCGCCGGUUUCGCUGAGCAGCGCUGCAGCAAUUGGUCGAGCCCGAUCAGCCCUCGAUAAUGAGCCACGUGAGUGCAGGUGUCACAACAAACUCCUCGCGCGAUGUGACAACAGGGGAGUCGGGCGGGCUGGAUUUGCAUCGCAGCAGAGCUGGUUACUGCAUACGCGGAAUUACUGUAUGCACAGUGGCUCAGAUUCUGCCAGCAUCUACAAUUCUGCUACACCGCAGAAGCAAUGUAACACCAGGAAGUCAAUCGUCUCACUCUUAGUCUACGAAAGAGGAAAAACCACUCUCUCAGAUCCUAUUCCAGAAUAUUCCAUAAAUGCUGGAAUGAGCUCUGAACUGGGAAGGUGAUGACAUUAGGAGAACAUCAGUGUCAUGGUCUUCAAACGACUGGGCUAAUUCUGCUCUGUGGACGGGGGCACUGUCACCUGAAGUCACACCCCUCCCUGGAUGAUAGAAAUGCUUUAACAUGCGGUCAUACCGGGGAAAAAAGUCCGCCACAUCAUUAUAGAACCCCCAGAACCGUUCAGUGAGUAACAGUCUGAGCUGAUUCCAGGCAUAUGGAAUGGCUUUAUUUCAUGAAAAAUAAAAUGCUGCUCUUAGUGUACAGCUGCACUGCGGUACUGGCAAAAGCACAUCUCAUUCCCACCCAGUUAGCAGAGCGUUCUCACUUUGAUUCUGUAACAUAGCGAUGAAGUCGCAUGUGCCAGUUACACGUUUAAAAAAAUUACAUGGCUAACACGUGUACAUCACAGGCACACAUCACAUCGACUAUAAAAACGUCAGUAACGAGACAAUUGAAUCAUUUGAAUGACAGGAGUGAUAAU
Long non-coding RNA from Anguilla rostrata (American eel), 1278 nucleotides. RefSeq lists it as uncharacterized. Lineage: Eukaryota; Metazoa; Chordata; Actinopteri; Anguilliformes; Anguillidae. The transcript is spliced from 3 exons. The record is from RefSeq and is a predicted model, not a curated record.